This 291-nucleotide ribosomal RNA is filed under the name uncultured Chitinophagaceae bacterium. Its description in RNAcentral is "partial 16S ribosomal RNA". It matches the Rfam family "Bacterial small subunit ribosomal RNA", at positions 505 to 795 of the family's 1533-position model. The record is from RNAcentral. Lineage: Bacteria; Pseudomonadati; Bacteroidota; Chitinophagia; Chitinophagales; Chitinophagaceae.
GUGCCAGCAGCCGCGGUAAUACGGAGGGUGCAAGCGUUAUCCGGAUUCACUGGGUUUAAAGGGUGCGUAGGCGGAUUUGUAAGUCCGUGGUGAAAUCUCCAGGCUUAACCUGGAAACUGCCAUGGAUACUAUAAAUCUUGAAUGUUGUGGAGGUUAGCGGAAUAUGUCAUGUAGCGGUGAAAUGCAUAGAUAUGACAUAGAACACCAAUUGCGAAGGCAGCUGGCUACACAAAUAUUGACGCUGAGGCACGAAAGCGUGGGGAUCAAACAGGAUUAGAUACCCCAGUAGUC